CGUAGGGUGCGAGCGUUAAUCGGAAUUACUGGGCGUAAAGUGUGCGCAGGCGGCCGAGCAAGUCGAGUGUGAAAGCCCCGAGCUUAACUUGGGAACUGCGCUCGAAACUACUUGGCUAGAGUGUGGCAGAGGGAGGUGGAAUUCCACGUGUAGCGGUGAAAUUCGUAGAGAUGUGGAGGAACACCGAUGGCGAAGGCAGCCUCCUGGGCCAACACUGACGCUCAUGCACGAAAGCGUGGGGAGCAAACAGGAUUAGAUACCCUGGUAGUCCACGCCCUAAACGAUGAUGACUAGUUGUUGGAGGAGUUAAAUCCUUUAGUAACGCAGCUAACGCGUGAAGUCAUCCGCCUGGGGAGUACGGUCGCAAGAUUA
This 372-nucleotide ribosomal RNA is filed under the name uncultured organism. Its description in RNAcentral is "bacterial SSU rRNA". It matches the Rfam family "Bacterial small subunit ribosomal RNA", at positions 526 to 896 of the family's 1533-position model. The record is from RNAcentral.